RNAcentral lists this ribosomal RNA (748 nucleotides) under Pseudomonas monteilii. Its description in RNAcentral is "bacterial SSU rRNA". It matches the Rfam family "Bacterial small subunit ribosomal RNA", at positions 42 to 786 of the family's 1533-position model. The record is from RNAcentral. Lineage: Bacteria; Pseudomonadati; Pseudomonadota; Gammaproteobacteria; Pseudomonadales; Pseudomonadaceae.
CCAUGUAGGUACCGUAACAGUCGAGCGGAUGACGGGAGCUUGCUCCUUGAUUAGCGGCGGACGGGUGAGUAAUGCCUAGGAAUCUGCCUGGUAGUGGGGGACAACGUUUCGAAAGGAACGCUAAUACCGCAUACGUCCUACGGGAGAAAGUGGGGGAUCUUCGGACCUCACGCUAUCAGAUGAGCCUAGGUCGGAUUAGCUAGUUGGUGAGGUAAUGGCUCACCAAGGCGACGAUCCGUAACUGGUCUGAGAGGAUGAUCAGUCACACUGGAACUGAGACACGGUCCAGACUCCUACGGGAGGCAGCAGUGGGGAAUAUUGGACAAUGGGCGAAAGCCUGAUCCAGCCAUGCCGCGUGUGUGAAGAAGGUCUUCGGAUUGUAAAGCACUUUAAGUUGGGAGGAAGGGCAGUAAGUUAAUACCUUGCUGUUUUGACGUUACCGACAGAAUAAGCACCGGCUAACUCUGUGCCAGCAGCCGCGGUAAUACAGAGGGUGCAAGCGUUAAUCGGAAUUACUGGGCGUAAAGCGCGCGUAGGUGGUUCGUUAAGUUGGAUGUGAAAGCCCCGGGCUCAACCUGGGAACUGCAUCCAAAACUGGCGAGCUAGAGUACGGUAGAGGGUGGUGGAAUUUCCUGUGUAGCGGUGAAAUGCGUAGAUAUAGGAAGGAACACCAGUGGCGAAGGCGACCACCUGGACUGAUACUGACACUGAGGUGCGAAAGCGUGGGGAGCAAACAAGAUUAGAUACC